GACGAACGCUGGCGGCGUGCCUAACACAUGCAAGUGGAGCGACGAACCAGGGCUUGCCCUGGGGCCAAGCCGCGAACGGGUGAGUAACACGUGGGUAACCUGCCCCGAUGACCGGGACAACCCGAGGAAACUCGGGCUAAUACCGGAUGUGGUGGACACACUUAAGUGUGUCCACUAAAGGAAGCUUCGGCCUCCGCAUUGGGAUGGGCCCGCGGCCCAUUAGCUAGUUGGUGGGGUAAAGGCCUACCAAGGCAACGAUGGGUAGCUGGUCUGAGAGGACGAUCAGCCACACUGGGACUGAGACACGGCCCAGACUCCUACGGGAGGGCAGCAGUGGGGAAUCUUGCGCAAUGCGCGAAAGCGUGACGCAGCAACGCCGCGUGAGGGAA
RNAcentral lists this ribosomal RNA (389 nucleotides) under uncultured bacterium. RNAcentral describes it as "bacterial SSU rRNA". It matches the Rfam family "Bacterial small subunit ribosomal RNA", at positions 28 to 409 of the family's 1533-position model. The record is from RNAcentral.